Triticum aestivum (bread wheat) is the source of this 74-nucleotide non-coding RNA. NCBI's taxonomy places the organism in Eukaryota, Viridiplantae, Streptophyta, Magnoliopsida, Poales, Poaceae. The record is from Rfam.
UAGCAAAAGAUGGCUUUACUCGGAUUCCACUUCAGGACAUCAAAACGAUGAUGCCAAAUCAAGUCUCUGAUGCA